RNAcentral lists this ribosomal RNA (481 nucleotides) under uncultured bacterium. RNAcentral describes it as "partial 16S ribosomal RNA". It matches the Rfam family "Bacterial small subunit ribosomal RNA", at positions 355 to 828 of the family's 1533-position model. The record is from RNAcentral.
UAGGGAAUCUUCCACAAUGGACGCAAGUCUGAUGGAGCAACGCCGCGUGAGUGAAGAAGGUCUUCGGAUCGUAAAGCUCUGUCGUUGGUGAAGAAGGAUAGAGGCAGUAACUGGUCUUUAUUUGACGGUAAUCAACCAGAAAGUCACGGCUAACUACGUGCCAGCAGCCGCGGUAAUACGUAGGUGGCAAGCGUUGUCCGGAUUUAUUGGGCGUAAAGCGAGCGCAGGCGGAAUGAUAAGUCUGAUGUGAAAGCCCACGGCUCAACCGUGGAACUGCAUCGGAAACUGUCAUUCUUGAGUGCAGAAGAGGAGAGUGGAACUCCAUGUGUAGCGGUGGAAUGCGUAGAUAUAUGGAAGAACACCAGUGGCGAAGGCGGCUCUCUGGUCUGCAACUGACGCUGAGGCUCGAAAGCAUGGGUAGCGAACAGGAUUAGAUACCCUGGUAGUCCAUGCCGUAAACGAUGAGCGCUAGGUGUUGGGG